GACGAACGCUGGCGGCGUGCUUAACACAUGCCAGUCGAACGGAAAGGCCCUGCUUUUGUGGGGUGCUCGAGUGGCGAACGGGUGAGUAACACGUGAGUAACCUGCCCUUGACUUUGGGAUAACUUCAGGAAACUGGGGCUAAUACCGGAUAGGAGCUCCUGCUGCAUGGUGGGGGUUGGAUAGUUUCGGCGGUUGGGGAUGGACUCGCGGCUUAUCAGCUUGUUGGUGGGGUAGUGGCUUACCAAGGCUUUGACGGGUAGCCGGCCUGAGAGGGUGACCGGCCACAUUGGGACUGAGAUACGGCCCAGACUCCUACGGGAGGCAGCAGUGGGGAAUAUUGCACAAUGGGCGGAAGCCUGAUGCAGCAACGCCGCGUGCGGGAUGACGGCCUUCGGGUUGUAAACCGCUUUCGCCUGUGACGAAGCGUGAGUGACGGUAAUGGGUAAAGAAGCACCGGCUAACUACGUG
This 468-nucleotide ribosomal RNA is filed under the name uncultured bacterium. RNAcentral describes it as "partial 16S ribosomal RNA". It matches the Rfam family "Bacterial small subunit ribosomal RNA", at positions 28 to 507 of the family's 1533-position model. The record is from RNAcentral.